This 3765-nucleotide long non-coding RNA is filed under the name Sorghum bicolor (sorghum). Its description in RNAcentral is "long non-coding RNA (SBIC_LNC011710)". The record is from RNAcentral. Lineage: Eukaryota; Viridiplantae; Streptophyta; Magnoliopsida; Poales; Poaceae.
CUCAUUAUGAUCGCUUCCGGCGCUCGAGCUAUGGAUCCGAGUCCCCUACAGGACUUCUGCGUUGCAGACAAAGACUCGCCUGGUAUGUACUCAUGAGUUCAUCAGGCUAAUGACAUGUAUCACACAUUGUGCUGUAUUACAACAAAGGAAAAGUGGAAAUGAAGACACAUGAAACGAGUUUGGUUAGCUUUCUAACACAUGUAUGUCACUUCAUUGAUGCUGCAGUACGUGUGAAUGGGUUGCCCUGCAAGGAUGUUAAGGAUGUGAAGGUUGACGACUUCUUCCUGGCAGCCAACCUUGACAAGCCAAGGGAUACGACGAUGAGCAAGGUCAAGUCAAAUGUCACGUUGAUCAAUGUGAUGAAGCUGGCCGGUCUAAACACCUUGGGCAUCUCCAUGGCUAGGAUUGACUAUGCUCCUCAAGGACAGAACCCACCACAUACUCAUCCCCGUGCCACUGAGAUCUUAACAGUUCUUGAAGGUUCACUCUAUGUUGGUUUUGUCACAUCUAACCCGGACAACAAAUUUUUUAGCAAGCUGCUCAACAAGGGUGACGUUUUUGUGUUCCCACAAGGCCUAAUCCACUUUCAGUUCAAUCCAAGUCAUGACAAGCCAGCGGUUGCCAUCGCCGCUCUCAGCAGCCAGAACCCUGGUGCCAUUACCAUUUCUAAUGCAGUAUUUGGAUCAAAACCAUCGAUCGCGGAUGACGUUCUUGCCAAGGCGUUUCAGGUGGACAAGAAGGUUGUGGAUUGGCUACAAGCUCAGUUUUGGGAGGACAACCACAACUAAGUGAAGGAUUCUAUUGUUAUGGUUUUUGCGUAGCGAUGUAAUAAGUAACAACAUUGGUUUGAUUUGUUUGUAUGAUGCAGAAAACUACUGUAUACCUAUAUUGCCAUAUGGAUUCUGUAAAAUGCUAUAUAUGACCUUAUUAGUCAUAAAAUUAAAAUCAUAUAUUGAUUGCAGUUCUUUGUUUCAUUGCGAUGCAACAGCUUUCAACUAAUAUUUUAUUAAGACACCAUGAUUAAAUCACACCAUGAUCAAGAUACCUAGAGUUAAAAUAAGCUGGCAUGAAAAUAUGGCAUCCGUGCCUGUGUCCAGGGACCCUCCAACUCCUCACACCAUCUCGACUCCCAUCAAGCAUCUAGCAUCCACAUUCUGUGAGCGUCGACUCGGUCACAUCGUCGUCGGGAGUCACAGGAGCACCUCUGCCUCCGCCAAGCACCCAGGCGCUGGACAAUCUCUGGCCUUACUCUAGCCUUUUCUUACCUGUUAGUUGCUCCUUGGUGGACUCUGGUCGUGGCUGUUGCCUGCUGGCUGUAGGCUCAGUCUGGCCAGGGGCCUAGGGCGGGCGCCAGCUUGAAGGUUAGCAGCAGCAGAUCCAGUGGAGGGAAAUGCGAAACACAGUGGAUCGGAUGGAGGGCUGCCUCGAUGAGUGGGCGUGGUAGCCCCGAGAUGGAUACGGUGGAGGACGGCCUCGACGAGCGGUGGUGUGCACACACAGAGCUGAUACUAUGGUAGUGGGCUUGGCGGGCUUAUCGAUAGGUUUUUUCUUUUGUUUUCGUGAUUCAUUUUCAUAGGCAGGCAUUGUGUCUGGCUGCGAGAAUGUUGAUUUUCCCAGACGGGCGUGCCCGCCUCUGUAAAGCUACAUUAACACAGGCCUUUCAGCAGAGGCGGACACUUUUUGCGUGCCUGGGUAAAACAACAACGCUCAUCUACCAAAAGAAUAGUGUAGUAGUUUGAGCAAAUGUGGUGCGUACUCAUGCAGUUCUGCAAGGUGGUGGAAUGCCAAGGUAACCUCCACAUACGGCCAUCCCUGUUUGCGAGACUGCUACAACAGCAAGCCUACUACUACUAGUAAGAUCCUUCUCCCUCUCCCUAUAUUUCCACACAUAUAAUAGGUGCUUACUUAAACAAAUGACAAGUUAACAAAUACCAACAACGGCCAUCACAAACCACCUUAGACCAAAGGUCACAGUAAACAAUCUUUACCGAGGUGAUUCAAAUGCCUGGUAAAUCAAAUAAAAAAGAAAAAGAAAAACCCAUGGAUAGGUUUGCUGAGCCCAACCACGGGCCUGCCAAACCCAUCCACGUGUCGCUGCCGUUGCUCGCCAGAUCUGGCCUCCACACAACUGGAUCUGCACCCGUGUCGUCAGCCACCUCGCCCGUGUUGCUAGCUCGCCUCCUUGCCCAUGGAUCUGGCCACCAUGGGCGGAUCUAGAUACAACAACCGCAAAUUUAGCCACUACGGGUGGAUUUGGCCACCACGCCGACGGAUCUGGCCACCACGCCCGUGGAUCUAGCCACCACGGGCGGAUCCGGCCACCACGGCCACAGAUCUGCCUAGUGAAGCUACCACCGUCUAGCCCAUUAGGAGGAGCCAUCCACAUUACCGUCGAACUCGAGAUGGAGAGUGCAAGGGAGAGGGAGUGGAGGGGCGCCGUUGGUCGCGCGAGGGGUGGCGCUCGGCUGCACGACAGGUGCGCUGCUUGACUGCGGGGAUAGGAGAUAGAAGUGGGAGUGGAAAACCCUAAGUGCUCCUUAAUUAUAGACAUGGCUAAGCCAAUGGGCCAUAUGGGCCUAGGACUUUUUCUAAGGGGUGGAUCAUUUAGGAGGUCCGCCUCCAAAAAUAGUGGCAUUUUUUAUUUUGCCUCCAUUAAUAGAUUUUAGGAGGCGGUUAUUUUCUAACUGCCUCUGUGUUGCGAGGAAGUUAAUUGUGUCUGUUUCGAUUAAUAAAAAUGACCGCCUCUGUUAAUCCUAGUUAGGCAUGAACUGAGGCAGUUGGAUUUUGUAAAUGCCUCGGUUAAUAAUAGGACCUUAUAAAAUCAUUUGUAUAGCGGUAUACCCCACACUCUUAGGAAAAAUAGGCAAAGAAGAGGACUCUAGGAGCCUAAUCUCCAUUGGUCCCCCACCACUCGAGAAAUUUGGUGGGUCUAAGAGCUCUCUGGAGAACCUUUUCUCAAGCAUCCAGAAAAUCAGUCCCUCGAACCUUACUUGUCUAGAGCCCUUUUGAAAACUUCCUAUGCCACACAGGAAAAGACCAUGUCACCCUUUAAGGAGCCUAAGCUUCGAAGGACUGACUCUGGUUCCACGGAUAAAUUAGGUGGCCCACCAGUUAGCUCAAAUAGUUGGGCAGAAUGGAGUUAAAGGGGUCGGGCCCCUCAGCAGAGGCACCCAAGAAAUUCGGUGGGUACAAAGCCCUAACCUAAGCCCCUCUCUCAAACAUCAUUUCAGUUUGUAUUUUGGUGACUGGUUAAGAAAUCUAUACCUAAUACUAUAUCUAUACCUAAAUUUCAGCCAAAAUUUUCGUCUGGACUAAUUUUCGUCUGGCCUAUCCCCUGAACCGGACUCGAACUGGAUUCGCUCACAUCUUGUAUCCCAGAUAGAAUAGAAAUCCAAAUCAGACUACCUCUUCUCAUCGGGCGCGCAGGAGCAGGGCCGGCCGCUGGAUCUCUUGGCCCCGAUACAGAUUUCCUGAUGGGGUAGAUGUUGGAUUCCUGGCCCCGGAACCCAUCGAAGCCUCGCAGCAGCCAGCAGGGAGAGGAGAGAUGCUGAGUGGGGAAAUAGGCCGAAGAGAAGGGUGGUCAAAAUCUGUGAGGAGCUCCACUGGAUUGGAAGAGGAGGAAGAAGGGUAUGCAAUUUUGAAGGCGCGCAGUGGGAAUUUCUCAGGGGAUGGAAGCGGGUGAUUUUGCAAUUUGGAGAGGGAAGUAGUGGAUGGCGGCGGCUUGUGACUGGCUAGGGUUAGCCACCUAUCGGGCUGGGCCAAAUU